RNAcentral lists this ribosomal RNA (460 nucleotides) under uncultured bacterium. RNAcentral describes it as "partial 16S ribosomal RNA". It matches the Rfam family "Bacterial small subunit ribosomal RNA", at positions 338 to 795 of the family's 1533-position model. The record is from RNAcentral.
UCUACGGGUGGCUGCAGUGAGGAAUAUUGGUCAAUGGACGCAAGUCUGAACCAGCCAUGCCGCGUGCAGGAAGACGGCCCUAUGAGUUGUAAACUGCUUUUGUACGAGGGUAAACGCAGAUACGUGUAUCUGUCUGAAAGUAUCUUACGAAUAAGGAUCGGCUAACUCCGUGCCAGCAGCCGCGGUAAUACGGAGGAUUCAAGCGUUAACCGGAUUUAUUGGGUUUAAAGGGGGGGUAGGUGGUCGGUUAAGUUAGGGGUGAAAUCACGAGGCUCAACUUCGGAAUUGCCUUUGAUACUGUUCGGCUAGAGAGUAGUUGAGGUAGGCGGAAUGUAUGGUGUAGCGGUGAAAUGCUUAGAGAUCAUACAGAACACCGAUUGCGAAGGCAGCUUACCAAGCUACUUCUGACGUUGAGGCACGAAAGCGUGGGGAGCAAACAGGAUUAGAUACCCUGGUAGUC